Non-coding RNA from Acanthosepion pharaonis, 113 nucleotides. The record is from the annotation of a GenBank genome assembly. NCBI's taxonomy places the organism in Eukaryota, Metazoa, Mollusca, Cephalopoda, Sepiida, Sepiidae.
UUACGGCCACAUCACGUUUAAACACCGGCUCCCGUACGAUCAACGAAGAUAAGCAACGUCGAGCCUGGUUAGUAGCUAGAUGGGUGACCGCAUAGGAAUACUAGGCGCUGUAA